CGCUCAGUUGAAAUGGCGCAUAAUUUUCACCUCAGUUAUAAUAUAGUGUAUUGAAAAAAAGUGAUUAAAAAGGCAAUUUAAUAAAAAAUAUAUAAUAUUAAACAUGGAAAUAAUUCGAGAAAAUUAAUUUAGCUUAUUUAAUUCGUCGAGUGUGUGCAGAUCGUUCGUUCGUUUUUUCGUUGUUCGUAUACGUCGCUCAUGCAGCAACAAGUAUUGCAAUGUAAACUUUUAUCAAUGCAAGAGAGUAAACAGCAUUCGUCGGAUUAGGCUGAAAUAUUAACAACAAAUCGUGCGGCUUACUGAAAAUAAGUGUCACAACCAGGAUGCAAUUUCAAAUAAUUAUUUAAUUCAUAAGAUCCAGUUCAGCGAUAGAGUGGUCACCGCAAAACGUCUUUAUUGAAAGGAGCUCCCGAAGAUCAGCUUUAGUGCAUUUCCAAAUAUAUUUUUUGUAUAUUAAGUCUUAAAAUACAGCUAAAAGAUACCAUAAUAUAUGCACAAAUUUUUGAAUCAAUAAAUUUAAAAGUUUUCUCAGAAAAAAAUUUGGAAAAUUUGUAUAUAACCCCUUAAGCUCGCUACUCUCGAUUCGAAGUGUGAGCGGUUCAUAGAAAAAUUUGAUAAAAAAAUAAAUUAGAUUGAAAGAGUAUUAUUGAAAUCUCUCAGAAUGAUUUUAAAGAAAAAAAUAUUAUUUUAAACAAGAUUUUAGACACAAAUUAUAGGAUUUUUGUUUUAACAUUAAUAACUAUUCUAAAAUUAGGUAAAAUUAGCAAAUUCAUUAAUCAAAUUCUUUACAUUUGAUUUGUGGAUUUUUUACGUAAACAUUCUUAAAUUAAACACUGUUUUAAUAUAAUAAAACAUAUAAUAAAUAAUUUUUAUAAAUUCUGAAUAUUUUUUGUGACGGGCAAGAUAAAAAUAUUUUAGUAAUAAAAAUUUAAUUUGACAUACAUAUAUUAUUUUCUCAAUUUAUACUACUAAACAUCCAAAUUACCUGAGACUAAACUACUGGAAAGUCUUGCCACCCAAAUCUUAAAUUUCGCGAAUGUUAAAGAUAUUAAAAUCUUCUGGGUUAUAAUGAUUUAGCAACUCUUCUUAAUGAAUUUAAAAAAUAAAGAAAAAACUAGUACCAUCAAAGCUUUUUUUAGGCACAAAAUUCAAAAUUCGUCAGCUGGCAUUUGUAACUCUUAUAAAGUCCGAAACUUAGUGAAUAAUUGAAUUUUAUAUGCACUCUUCUGUUAAAAGCGUGACCGGAAACGAAAACACUCAACAUUUAAGUAAAUCACAGUUGGAAACUUCGCAAAUAAAAAACGAAAUGGAAAUUAGUAUGCAAAUUAUCAAAUUAAUAUUGUGUUCUACGAAAUCUUAUCUAUAUAACCAUCGUCUACAGCCAUUUCUCAGAAAAUCUUUCACUUUGAACUUUUCCACUUAACUUAAUAGACAAUAAAACUAAAAGCAGAACAAAAAUUAUGCUCUCUUUCAAACUAAACCAAACCCAACAGUUUAUAUGUGUUAAACACUGCUAGAGUGGAAAGUUCGAAAAUCAGCAAAGGCAAUCCUAGGCUUAGCGCAGCCGAGCUGAUGUAUUUAAAGGCGAUGCGUGCGCGUUAAAGUAAAGGCCGCCUGUGCAAAGAGUUAUGCGCAAAUAACACGCGCGUGCCCACACAACACACACGCGCGCACAAGCGUACAUGCAUUACAACAUAGCUGUAAUAUAGUGAGCUGUGCCGUCACCUUGGCGUAUACGUAACAUUUGCUUUGCACAGUGUAUACAAUGUAUGGCACAUUGUUACGUAUACGACAUGGUGACCCAAAAUUAAAUCCAUGGUGCCAGUAAAGUGUUGUUGCUGCUGCAGCACAGCACCUAUUUGGGUGUGUACACAUAUAUAAUGGGCUUUUAAACUAUAUAAAGAUAUAUAUAUGUGUGUGUGUAUGUGUGUGGGUGAGUGUUAUCGCAUAACAUGAGCAUUAGGAGCGUGCGUGAAAAAAGGUUGCCAUUUCACGAAAAUGAAUUUUAGGCACGCACAGCUCGCCAUUACACUAUUACAACUAAAAUACUAUGCGGAAUGUAUAUUUUUAUAAGCUUACAAAAUUAAUGGAAAACACAGUGCUUGCCGCUGGCCUAUCAUCAUCUACUCUCCGCUUCUCGGUGAAGUUAUGUAACGUGAAAGGCAUGCGUUUAUGCUAAGUCCGCAUACAGCAAAUUACGGUACAAAAGGGUGGUGAGAUUUAUUUCUUAUAAGCAGCAAGCAGCAUUAAGCCACAAGAAAGCAAUGGCAGCGAGAGAAAUGAAAAAUGGAUGAGACAUAUUUGCAAACAUACAUAUGUAUAUUUAUUCACAUAUUGGUAAUGUAAGCUUUGGUAACUGAACUUUGUUGUUAUGUACUCGCAUAGCAGUUUAGAUAUUUAUUACGCAGAUAAUUGAGGGCGUGUGAUACUUACACUAUUUCUGCUUCGACUACCUCACUCACUCGUCUUGUUAGUGCGCACAAUAUAAUAUUUAAUGGGCGUGUGCUUUGUGUUCCGGUAUACACUAUACAUAACAUUAGCAACGCCAGUAGUUCAGUGAACUGUCGACCACUUAGUUAAGUACUUCAUAUAGUACACUUGAUGUGCAGUGUUAAGGUCAUCAAAGUGUUGUAUUGUCUGUGUUUAUAUUUUCUUGAUAAAUAUUGACGCGUGCACUCGAUUAUUGAUUAACACAGGUGUCAUUUGUAGCAAGCACAUAUGUUAGUGUCAAUAAAUAAAUAAAUAAUAAUGCAAUUGUAACUAAAGCCAAACAAGU
Molecule: long non-coding RNA, 2776 nt
Organism: Bactrocera dorsalis (oriental fruit fly)
Lineage: Eukaryota; Metazoa; Arthropoda; Insecta; Diptera; Tephritidae
Exons: 3
Source: RefSeq, a predicted model, not a curated record